This 29-nucleotide small RNA is filed under the name Bombyx mori (domestic silkworm). Its description in RNAcentral is "ovarian small RNA-31633". The record is from RNAcentral. Lineage: Eukaryota; Metazoa; Arthropoda; Insecta; Lepidoptera; Bombycidae.
UGACCUAGUAUAUGAACGAUUAUAGGGUC